Molecule: ribosomal RNA, 440 nt
Filed under: uncultured bacterium
Lineage: Bacteria
Description: bacterial SSU rRNA
Rfam family: Bacterial small subunit ribosomal RNA
Source: RNAcentral
AACGCGAAGAACCUUACCUGGAUUUGACAUCUCUCGACAACACUAGAGAUAGUGCUUUUGUAGAAAUACAACGAGAAGACAGGUGCUGCAUGGCUGUCGUCAGCUCGUGUGGUGACAUGUUGGGUUAAGUCCCGCAACGAGCGCAACCCUUGUCCUUAGUUGCCAGCAUUAAGUUGGGCACUCUAGGGAGACUGCCGUGGUUAACACGGAGGAAGGUGGGGAUGACGUCAAGUCCUCAUGGCCUUUAUGUCCAGGGCGACACACGUGAUACAAUGGGUGAUACAGAGGGAAGCCAAGAGGCAACUCGGAGCUAAUCUCAAAAAGUCACUCUCAGUUCGGAUUGGAGUCUGCAACUCGACUCCAUGAAGCUGGAAUCGCUAGUAAUCGCGGAUCAGCACGCCGCGGUGAAUACGUUCCCGGGCCUUGUACACACCGAUAGC